Molecule: ribosomal RNA, 483 nt
Filed under: uncultured bacterium
Lineage: Bacteria
Description: partial 16S ribosomal RNA
Rfam family: Bacterial small subunit ribosomal RNA
Source: RNAcentral
AUUGAACGCUGGCGGCAGGCCUAACACAUGCAAGUCGAGCGGAUGAAGGGAGCUUGCUCCUGGAUUCAGCGGCGGACGGGUGAGUAAUGCCUAGGAAUCUGCCUGGUAGUGGGGGAUAACGUCCGGAAACGGGCGCUAAUACCGCAUACGUCCUGAGGGAGAAAGUGGGGGAUCUUCGGACCUCACGCUAUCAGAUGAGCCUAGGUCGGAUUAGCUAGUUGGUGGGGUAAAGGCCUACCAAGGCGACGAUCCGUAACUGGUCUGAGAGGAUGAUCAGUCACACUGGAACUGAGACACGGUCCAGACUCCUACGGGAGGCAGCAGUGGGGAAUAUUGGACAAUGGGCGAAAGCCUGAUCCAGCCAUGCCGCGUGUGUGAAGAAGGUCUGCGGAUUGUAAAGCACUUUAAGUUGGGAGGAAGGGCAGUAAGUUAAUACCUUGCUGUUUUGACGUUACCAACAGAAUAAGCACCGGCGAACUUCGU